UGGGGAAUAUUGGGCAAUGGGCGGCAAGCCUGACCCAGCAACGCCGCGUGAAGGAAGAAGGCUUUCGGGUUGUAAACUUCUUUUGUCAGGGACGAAGCAAGUGACGGUACCUGACGAAUAAGCCACGGCUAACUACGUGCC
RNAcentral lists this ribosomal RNA (141 nucleotides) under uncultured bacterium. RNAcentral describes it as "partial 16S ribosomal RNA". It matches the Rfam family "Bacterial small subunit ribosomal RNA", at positions 355 to 509 of the family's 1533-position model. The record is from RNAcentral.